Molecule: long non-coding RNA, 854 nt
Organism: Odocoileus virginianus texanus
Lineage: Eukaryota; Metazoa; Chordata; Mammalia; Artiodactyla; Cervidae
Source: RefSeq, a predicted model, not a curated record
CACCUCACAAAGAGGGAAACCCACACCUCACACAGAGAGGCAAACACCUCACACAGAGGGGCACCCACACCUCACACAGGCCCUGCUAUCAGGGCAGGCCCGCUGGGCACAAGCCCAGAGAAUCACCUAGUAUGCACCCCCCCCACACAUACACGUCCUGCCCUGGCUGCCUCAGGGGCUUGCUACACUGCCCGCUCACCACCAGACCAGCUCGCCUUCAAGAAGCAGGCUGGCCAAGGCUCCCGUGGUCUCAUCCCUCAUCUUGUCCCUGGACAUGGCCUGCAGGGCCCAGCAUGGCCCCCUCAGGCCUUCCAACACUCCCAGGCCUCAGGGAGGACCUGUAAUAAUAACAACGCUCCAGUGUGAGCUCCUGAGUGCCCGCCUCCAUGGGCCAGCACGUUUCAUUCUGAUAACAACCAGUUUUAUCCCAUUUCGCAGACGAGGAAACCAAAACCAAGAGGGGCUAAGUGCCUUUCCGAGGAUCAUGUGACCAGUGAGUGGCCUAGUCGGAGCCCAGGUCUGGUCCACAUGUGUCUCAGGUUAUGCAUCUGGGAAAUGGGCAGAAGACAGAGUAACAGAAACACGACACAGAUAAAACCUGCAAGUCCUGGAGCCAGCUCGCCUGGGUUCACGCCCCUUCUCCACCUCUAACCUGCUCUGUGACCUGUUGCCAGUUAUUAUGUGGUCUCUCUGCACCUCAGCUUCCUCCCCUGUACAAAGGGGGUACCUACUUCACCAGGACAGAGGCCGUUCCAUCAGCUCCUGUGCCCCAAAUACGGAUGGUUCCUCCAUCUGCCUGGCCGUGUCUGCAGAAGUCAUUUGCACCCACCCGCCGCCUCCAGGAGCCACCCAGC